RNAcentral lists this ribosomal RNA (253 nucleotides) under uncultured bacterium. RNAcentral describes it as "partial 16S ribosomal RNA". It matches the Rfam family "Bacterial small subunit ribosomal RNA", at positions 524 to 776 of the family's 1533-position model. The record is from RNAcentral.
UACGGGGGGAGCGAGCGUUAUUCGGAUUCACUGGGCGUAAAGGGUUCGUAGGCGGUCGAAUAGGUCAGAGGUGAAAUCCAACGGCUCAACCGUUGAACUGCCUUUGAAACCAUUCGACUUGAGGACAUGAGAGGAAAGCGGAAUUCUCGGUGUAGCGGUGAAAUGCGUGGAUAUCGAGAGGAACACCGGUGGCGAAGGCGGCUUUCUGGCGUGUUUCUGACGCUGAGGAACGAAAGCUAGGGGAGCGAACAGG